AUUGAACGCUGGCGGCAGGCCUAACACAUGCAAGUCGAGCGAGCGGCGGACGGGUGAGUAAUGUAUGGGGACUGCCCGAUAGAGGGGGAUAACUACUGGAAACGGUAGCUAAUACCGCAUACUAUCGGAUAACCCAUAUGGGAUUCGCUAGUAGGUGAGGUAAUGGCUCACCUCGGCGACGAUCCCUAGCUGGUCUGAGAGGAUGAUCAACCACGUGGGGACUGAGACACGGACCAGAAUCCUACGGAGGAAGCAGUGGGGAAUAUUGAACAAUGGGGGCAAGCCUGAUGCAGCCAUGACGCGUGUAUGAAGAAGGCCCUAGGGUUGUAAAGUACGUUCAGUCGGGAGGCGUUACCGACAGAAGAAGCACCGGCUAACUCCGUGCCAGCAGCCGCGGUAAUUC
Molecule: ribosomal RNA, 403 nt
Filed under: uncultured bacterium
Lineage: Bacteria
Description: partial 16S ribosomal RNA
Rfam family: Bacterial small subunit ribosomal RNA
Source: RNAcentral